GGUCUCCUCGCGAGGGCCUGGGCCGCUCUGGGCGCUCGGCCCGCGUGUCGGGGGCUCCCCGGGGCGCCCUGGGCUCCUGCUGCUGUUUCUUCCUGGCCGGCCUUGAGAAACCAUUUCCGCCGCUGACGUGCGUCUACGCCCAUCAUUUCAGCUGACACGUUGCUGUAACGUCUCCUCCGUUUCAUGCUCUUUCGAACCCUGUCAGCUGCGGGAAGGAACUUCUAAACUAAAAGCUGGCAAGACUCAGCAGAAAAAAAAUAUCGAAAGCUGCUUCUGCUGCCCCAGCUUCACUCAGGCCCUGGCUGCUCCUUCACUGGUCUACACUGCUGCCUCCUGGAACCACCCACUCUGCAACCAGGUCUGAUGCCCGGUGUGGACAUUCAGGGAUGAGGUCCCCUGGGGCUAAAUGAAUGAACAGAUUCUGAAAAGCAGAAGCUACGUCCGGGGGUCUCUGGGCCACAAAUCACUUUCUGACCUGCAGCCGUGAGGCGUGAGGCUCACUCGGAAGCUCCCGGAACCUGGAGACUGCCCUCACUCAACACUUGAACAAGCAAGGGGCCAGGUUCAAUGAAACACCUGCCCGCCCGGCACACCAGGCUCAAAAGCAAGCAAGCAAGCAAACAAACAAACAAAAUCAAAUCAGGCCUUCACAACUCCCCAAAUCAUGUGUGAGUUUCUACAGAGCAGAAGCCAAAAAUAUAUGUUAUCUAACUAGGUCCUAUUUACAUAUAUUUUUAUGGCUGCUCUAAAAAAUUAUCACAAACAUAGCGGCUUCACCCCGUUUCCCCUGUUGUGAUUAUUACACAUUGGAUGCCUGUAUCAAAAUAUCUCAUGGACCCCAUAAAUAGCAACACCCUGUAUGUACUCAUGACAAUUUUUUAAAAAAGAACACUUACACUUUCCAUUUCUGCAGGUUAGACGUCUGAAAUGGUCUCCCUGGGCUAACAUCAGGUCUUGGGAGGGCUGGUUCCUUCUAGAGGCUCCAGGGGAGAACCCCUCGGCCCUCAGUCCCAUCCUCCGUCUUCAGAGCCAGUGGUGUCUCGUCACUGAGACCUGCUCUGCCCUCCGCCUCUAUGUUGAAGGGCCCGAGAUUCUACUGGGUCCCCCCGGAUAAUCCAGGGUCACCCCUCCGUGUCAGGCGGCUGACUGGCAGCCUCAUGUGUCCACAGUUUCCGUGCACCGGGAGGUGGGCAUGUUUAGGGGCCCCCAUUCUGCCUCCCAUGAGUCUGCAGGGCCUGACUUUGUAAUUUGGGAUCAUUCUUAGGGUACCCAGAUACAACAAACAAAAACGCAGCAAACAAAAACACAGGGUGCCCAGCUCAACAGGAAGUUUGGAGAAGCAGUGACUGAUUUUUUAGUGUAAGUCUGUCCCAAAUAUUGUAGAAUCCAUCCAAACGCUGCCGGACACCCUGUGUCUCAGCCGCAGGAUGGCCACGCUGCACACUUAGUGCGGGCCCGGAGCUGCCGGUGCAGAAGGGGGUUUCUGAGUUGGAGGGAUGCAGGUGCGGUUCCCCCCCAGCUUCCUUGGGAUGCCCAGUGUGGACAUACAGGGAUGAGGUCCCCUGGGGCUAAACGAAUGAACAGUUUUUGAAAAGCAGAAGCUACGUCCAGGGGGUUUCUGGGCCUCAAAUUGCGCAGACUUGCGGUGCUGGGGAGACGUUUUGCCUGCAGGCAGCAGGCUCUGAAUUGCCCUUUAGCUCCCGACCUGGGGUACAGCGAGAAGGAGGAGACGGAGGCAGACCGGCACGGGGUGGUCAGGGACAGCGGUGCUGACACACGGCUGCUCAAAGAUGACUUGGAACUCGAGGCCCAGCUCGUUAUUCUGGGGGUGACUGGCUCCCAGUGUCUGGACGGGUCUGAGCCCCACCACAGCUGGCCUGGACUGGACUGGAAACCGUGCCCAUUAACGACCCCUGGGCCACCCAGAGCCCCCAGCUCCGGAGACCCCGGGGUCUGGUUUGUGGCUGUUUGUCGCCCACGGGCCCCUCCACCAGCUCCUUUCGGUAAAGAGUAUGGCCUCCUAGAUACCGACCUCAUGCCAUACGGAUGCAGUCAGGCUCUGGCGGUCAGGAAGGUGGCUCCGGAGCUCGGCUCUGCACCGCAUCCUCUGCCCCCUGUUUCCCGAGAUUGCUCCUGGACACACCUUUCUCUCCCGCCCUGUGGGGUACACAGCACCCAUGACAGCUUCUGUGGGACAAGAAACGGUGCGGGGCGAGGAGGGCGGGAGGCGGAGGAAGCAGAUCUGGGUCUGGGUUCUGUUUGUGGAGUGGAAAUGUAAGAACCAGGCGAGCUGACCGGGUGGCUGGGCCGUGUGGACCCAGAUCAGCACUGUGCCAUGGUGCUCUCGAGAGCCAAAGAGCCAGCCCACCUUGCAGGGCUGGGCCCGUCUGUUCCAGAAACCACAUCUGCAGCCAUACGGCAGCAGCUGCCUGUUGACGGCAGCGUUGGAUCCUCUGACCACAGCUGAAGCUUUGACCAACAAAAGUCCCAGGGAGCUGCUCAGGGCGGGAUCAGAAAAGAGGGUGCUUAGCAAGCCACACGCCACACACCCUCCCUGGGAGGCCCUGACAGCGCUUCUCUCCCUCCCAUUUUCGCUCUGGCAGCCAUCGUGGCGCAGACCGUGGAGCAGGGGCAGCUCUUACCCCUGGGUCUGGCAUCAGGAGCGUGUCCCACCGGCUCUGUUGCCGCAGCCUCAAAGCCCCACGUGGGGCAGCAGCCGGAUCGGCACUGGGGGAGCCGGAAUCCAUCAACCUCGGCCUCAGAUCAGCAUCCGCCCAGCCCUCCUGCCCCACAUCCGAGCCAUUUCAAGGGCUGCAGGGACAUUGGGAUGAUGGGGAAGUGGGCCGAGGACAGCCCCAGGGAAGGCUUUGUCUGAACUCCUCAAAUCACCGGGCGCUGACAUUUGGGAUUUUUGCCUUCCUGGCGCACCCCCACCCCACAUGCACACUCACGUGCAUGGCGUCGGCAGGAUGUGGGUGCUGCAGAGGUGCCCCCACUUCUGUGUCUCCCACGCAGCCCCGGGAACCUGGGCCCCACAGGAGCCAGGAGCUGCAGCACAGGACCAAGAAGCUUGACCUUUUCUCCCCAACUGCUAAAUCGCCAGUCCUUUGGAGCAACAGUGUCCUCUACAUAAAGGAGCAGUUAGACUAAUUUAAAACAGUAUUGACCUUUCCUUCCUGCCCUUUUCAUUUUGACUAAAUUACAGGGUGCGGCUCUGCAAUUCGCCUUCCGGUCUGUGAGUGACUCCGAGUCAGCACCCACCUUGCCUUGCUGCUUAAUCAAGGAGAGUGCUGCUGCUGGUGAUGCAGGGCAGGGCACCAACGCCCUGGGGCGAUGCAGGGCAGGGCACCAUCCACCAACGCCCCGACCCAGCGUCUCUCGUGGGGUCAAGGUUACAAGGAAGGCGGGCCAGGGGCGAGGCCUGCCUCUGUCCACAGGCAGACACGGAUGCCGAGGCUGGAAGGACCUUCCUGGCCCUCUCCUAACGGAGGCCCCGAGAGGGGAGGAGGCUGCAGGGAUCAUCCAGCCCCUCAGGGCAGCACUCAGACCAGCCUCAGGGCCAUCAGCCAGGACGGCCGGUAUCCUUGACUCUUGCUUCAGGUCCCAACACUCUAUUUCAAGGGGAUGCUGGGCCCUCCCCAAUAACUCCCCACCGUGUCCCAGGAGAGCCUCCAGCUGGCCAAGAAGCCUCACCUGGCUCACAGCUUUGCUGCCCUUAAACUGAGGUCACAACAGGCCCUGGUGUCAGUGCAGCCUUGGCUCCCAAGGGUGACACAUCCGCGC
Molecule: long non-coding RNA, 3783 nt
Filed under: Homo sapiens (human)
Lineage: Eukaryota; Metazoa; Chordata; Mammalia; Primates; Hominidae
Description: non-protein coding HAR1B:7
Source: RNAcentral